GGCGGUAUAACUCAGCCUGGUUAGAGUGUUACGCUCAUAUCGUAAAAGUCCCGAGUUCAAAUCUCGGUACCGCCA
RNAcentral lists this transfer RNA (75 nucleotides) under Candidatus Woesearchaeota archaeon. RNAcentral's name for it is "tRNA-Met". It matches the Rfam family "tRNA". Rfam says of the family: Transfer RNA (tRNA) molecules are approximately 80 nucleotides in length. Their secondary structure includes four short double-helical elements and three loops (D, anti-codon, and T loops). Lineage: Archaea; Nanobdellati; Candidatus Woesearchaeota. The record is from RNAcentral.